RNAcentral lists this ribosomal RNA (200 nucleotides) under uncultured bacterium. RNAcentral's name for it is "partial 16S ribosomal RNA". It matches the Rfam family "Bacterial small subunit ribosomal RNA", at positions 524 to 724 of the family's 1533-position model. The record is from RNAcentral.
UACGGAGGGUGCAAGCGUUAUCCGGCUUUACUGGGCGUAAAGGGUGCGGAGGUGGCCUUGCAAGUCGGUGGUUAAAGAAUACGGCUCAACCGUAUUAAGCCGCCGAAACUGUAAGACUUGAGUGCAGGAGAGGAAAGUGGAAUUCCCAGUGUAGCGGUGAAAUGCGUAGAUAUUGAGAAGAACACCAGUAGCGAAGGCGG